RNAcentral lists this ribosomal RNA (400 nucleotides) under uncultured bacterium. RNAcentral describes it as "bacterial SSU rRNA". It matches the Rfam family "Bacterial small subunit ribosomal RNA", at positions 355 to 747 of the family's 1533-position model. The record is from RNAcentral.
UGGGGAAUAUUGGACAAUGGGCGCAAGCCUGAUCCAGCAAUACCGCGUGUGUGAAGAAGGCCUUCGGGUUGUAAAGCACUUUCAGUAGGAAAGAAGUUGUCGUGGUUAAGAGCUAUGACAAUUGACGUUACCUACAGAAGAAGCACCGGCUAACUCUGUGCCAGCAGCCGCGGUAAUACAGAGGGUGCAAGCGUUAAUCGGAGUUACUGGGCGUAAAGCGCGCGUAGGUGGAUAAUUAAGUUUCGUGUGAAAUCCUCGGGCUCAACCUGAGAAUUGCACGGAAAACUGGUUAUCUAGAGUAUGGCAGAGGUUAGUGGAAUUUCCGGUGUAGCGGUGAAAUGCGUAGAUAUCGGAAGGAACACCAGUGGCGAAGGCGACUAACUGGGCCAAUACUGACACU